Molecule: RNA transcript, 2844 nt
Organism: Peromyscus eremicus (cactus mouse)
Lineage: Eukaryota; Metazoa; Chordata; Mammalia; Rodentia; Cricetidae
Gene: Otud1
Gene name: OTU deubiquitinase 1
Exons: 2
Source: RefSeq, a predicted model, not a curated record
CUCCUGACGCGGCGGUGGCGGCGGCGGCCGGCGGCGCUGAGCUCAGCGCUAUUCUCGGGCUCCCGGGGCACUGCGCCCGAGGGUGUGUCCCCGACCCGGGCUCGCAGCUAUAAGGGGCCGCGGGCGGCCUCAGCCAUGCAGCUCUACAGCAGCGUGUGCACCCACUACCCUGCGGGCACGCCGGGCCCCACGGCCGCCGCCCCGCCUGCCGCCGCCGCCACCACCGCCGCCGCCGCCUCCACCUUCAAGGUCUCCUUGCAAUCCGCCGGCCCCGCCGCCGCCGCCGCCCCGGAGCCGGAUACCGGAGAGCGCCCACCCGCCGCGGCCACCGAGCCCCGCGAAGCCGCCGCUGCUGCCGCCGCCGCCGCCGCCAUGCCCGCCUUCUCUGCCUGCUUCGAGCGGUCCGGGACCGCCACCGCUGCCACCGCCGCCGCUGCCGCCGCCGCCCCGCCCGGCGCGUGCUGCAAGCCGCCGCUGCCGCCGCACUUCACGUCCACGGCGCACAUCGCCGUGCGGGCCCUGGGCGCCGAGCGCCUCCUGCUGCCGCCGCCCGCAGCCCCCGCGCCGCCGCGCCGCGGUUCCUCCGCCUGGCUGCUGGAGGAACUGCUCCGGCCCGACGAGCCCGCGGCCCCGAACGCCGCCCGCGACGUGCCCGACAGGAACUUCCGACUGAGCGAGCACCGCCAGGCCCUGGCGGCCGCCCAGCACCGGGCCCCUGCCCCGGUCCCCGGCAGCCCGGAGUCCGGCCCCGGCCCGUGGGGCGAGGAGCGCCGGGCGGAGCGGAGUCCCCGAGGUUGGGACCACCGGGCGGGCGGGCGCAGCGACGCCUCCGGGACCGACGCGCAUCGACGGCACGACCCCGAGGCCGAGGCUCACCCCGUACCCGCCGCGCUCUCGCGGAGCAGCGGCGAGCCGGCCCCGAACGGCGCGGGCGAAGCGGUAGGCGCGCCCCGGGCGGAUCAGAGAGACGAGAAGCUCGCCCUGUACCUGGCCGAGGUGGAGAGGCAGGACAAGUACUUGAGGCAGAGGAACAAGUACCGAUUCCACAUCAUCCCCGACGGCAACUGCCUCUAUCGAGCUGUCAGCAAGACCGUGUACGGGGACCAGAGCCUGCACCGGGAGCUGAGGGAGCAGACUGUGCACUACAUCGCGGACCACCUCGACCACUUCAGCCCCCUGAUUGAGGGCGACGUGGGGGAGUUUAUUAUCGCGGCUGCCCAAGAUGGGGCGUGGGCUGGGUACCCCGAAUUGCUGGCCAUGGGGCAGAUGCUGAAUGUGAAUAUACACUUAACUACUGGAGGGAGACUGGAGAGCCCCACCGUGUCUACCAUGAUCCACUAUCUGGGCCCAGAGGAUUCUCUAAGGCCUAGUAUUUGGCUCAGUUGGCUCAGCAAUGGACACUAUGAUGCUGUUUUUGACCACUCCUACCCUAACCCAGAGUAUGACAAUUGGUGCAAGCAAACCCAAAUGCAGAGAAAACGCGAUGAAGAACUUGCCAAGUCCAUGGCCAUAUCCCUGUCCAAAAUGUAUAUCGAACAAAACGCAUGCUCUUGAAAAAUCUGAGGACCUGACAAGCCGGGGAAAUGGCGUACAUCAGUUGUGUUGGGAAAACCACACGAACUCUAAUUAGGUCAAUACUAAGCUGUGUCCCUGGAAGAUUAGGUUUCAAAAAUGGCAUUUCCAGAACGUUUCUACUUCUUCCUUCCAAAAUAUUUUCUCAUUAAAAUGAUGGGAAAAUGUAAUCCCGUGAGUACAGAGAUAGUGAAAAACAUCUAUCCUUUUUUGUGUGUCUGGGCACAGCCUUAUUCUGCAGAAUCCUGGACAGAGGACAGCAUUGGAGGUCCAUGGUGACCUCUGAUGGUGGCAUCACAAGUGGAGUUAAGGCCACGCAUUUGAAGUCAGGGUUGGACCCCUGAAUCCCUUUCAUGGAUGCUAAUGUCUAGCUGACAAUGGCUUCUCCAUCCUGGAGGAGCCCUAGGAACUGACCUCGUCGACACUGGACAGAGAACCAAGAAAGGCCCACCAUACUGAAAUCAGGUAUCUACCAGAAAAUUUAGGUGUUAAAAGGUGAGAACCCAGCUUUGCCCCCACCUGGCGUUGAGCAUACCAACUGCUAGAUUUACACCUUGACCUGAGGCAGAUUCCUUUUAUUGGUCUGGGUUAAAAGAAGAGACACUCAAUUGGGAUCCUCAGUAAAAGCCACAAGUCUGGAGCCACUCUGUCACUACAGGCAAGGCUCCGCACCCCCUCUGAGGACCAGCACCGUGUCGUGAAGCAGUUACACAUCUCUGAAACAAAACAGCAAAAUAACCAAAAUAGCAAGUGAACGGGAAAGAGAAAGGCAACAGAAAAGAAUGUAGUGAUUGAGAACAAACCGCCAAAGGAGAGAGAAGACACAAAUCAGCCCACAAAUGACAUCUGCAGGGAGAAGGGCUUGGACCCUGGGGAGUAGAAUGCUAUUUUUAAAACUAUUCUCUAAGUUAAAAAUAGCACAGCCAAAGUCAAAUAUUCAGUAGAAAUUUGGAUGAUAAAAAUGGAAGAAAUCUCUCAAAGUAGAACAAGGAGGCAUGAAAUAUAAAAUAAGACCGAAAAGGAAAGUGAAAAGAUUAAUCUAGAAAGUCCAAUAUCUGACUGUUGUGUUCCUGAAAUAGAACACGGCACUCGUUGACAGGAAAGAUUAGGGAAAAGAUUUCCUAGAACUCCAUGACAGUUUGCAGAUUGCAAGGUCCCUUAGCACCCACAGGGCCAUUCUCGACAGCCAUAGAAGUUGGAUCUGUGGAUUCAGAUGGGAACAGGACCCUUGGAAUGAUGCACUGUGAAACCUGUGCAAUUAGAUUCUGCAGC